Molecule: ribosomal RNA, 253 nt
Filed under: uncultured bacterium
Lineage: Bacteria
Description: partial 16S ribosomal RNA
Rfam family: Bacterial small subunit ribosomal RNA
Source: RNAcentral
UACGGAGGGGGCUAGCGUUGUUCGGAAUUACUGGGCGUAAAGCGCGUGUAGGCGGACCUGCAAGUCGGGGGUGAAAGCCCGAGGCUCAACCUCGGAACUGCAUUCGAUACUGCGGGUCUCGAGUGCGGGAGAGGUGAGUGGAAUUCCUAGUGUAGAGGUGAAAUUCGUAGAUAUUAGGAAGAACACCAGUGGCGAAGGCGGCUUUCUGGACGAUAACUGACGCUGAGGCGCGAAAGCGUGGGGAGCAAACAGG